UACGGAGGAUGCGAGCGUUAUCCGGAUUUAUUGGGUUUAAAGGGUGCGUAGGCGGGCUUUUAAGUCAGCGGUAAAAAUUCGGGGCUCAACCCCGUCCGGCCGUUGAAACUGGGGGUCUUGAGUGGGCGAGAAGAAGGCGGAAUGCGUGGUGUAGCGGUGAAAUGCAUAGGUAUCACGCAGAACCCCGAUUGCGAAGGCAGCCUUCCGGCGCCCUACUGACGCUGAGGCACGAAAGUGCGGGGAUCGAACAGG
Molecule: ribosomal RNA, 252 nt
Filed under: uncultured bacterium
Lineage: Bacteria
Description: partial 16S ribosomal RNA
Rfam family: Bacterial small subunit ribosomal RNA
Source: RNAcentral